CAUGUUUAAACCAAUAAAAGGGAAAAGGUUAUAGAAAUUUGUAAAAUAUCACAAACGUACAUAAAAUAGAAGCAGCAGCUCUGUGCCACUGUAAUGCCCAAUGCCACUGUAAACUGCAUGAUGUGAGAUUUGUAAAUCUGGUCAUUGUGGCAGUGCCGCCCAUUGGAAAUAACUAUUUACCAUGGAGAAGACCACACAUUGCAUAGCACCACCACACGAGAAGGCCUGAGACAGGGAGUUCAUGGAUUCCCAGGGCAUGCAGCUGCUAUAAGAAAGUAAAACAAAACAACUUGGGUCAAG
This is a non-coding RNA of Pelobates cultripes (western spadefoot toad), 300 nucleotides long. The record is from the annotation of a GenBank genome assembly. NCBI's taxonomy places the organism in Eukaryota, Metazoa, Chordata, Amphibia, Anura, Pelobatidae.